CAGUAGCCGCGGUAAUACGUAGGUGGCAAGCGUUGUCCGGAAUUAUUGGGCGUAAAGGGCUCGCAGGCGGUUUCUUAAGUCUGAUGUGAAAGCCCCCGGCUCAACCGGGGAGGGUCAUUGGAAACUGGGAAACUUGAGUGCAGAAGAGGAGAGUGGAAUUCCACGUGUAGCGGUGAAAUGCGUAGAGAUGUGGAGGAACACCAGUGGCGAAGGCGACUCUCUGGUCUGUAACUGACGCUGAGGAGCGAAAGCGUGGGGAGCAAACAGGAUUAGAUACCCGUGUAGUCCCUGUCUCUUUACA
This 301-nucleotide ribosomal RNA is filed under the name uncultured bacterium. Its description in RNAcentral is "partial 16S ribosomal RNA". It matches the Rfam family "Bacterial small subunit ribosomal RNA", at positions 509 to 808 of the family's 1533-position model. The record is from RNAcentral.